ACGCACGCUGGCGGCAUGCCUAACACCUGCAAGUCGAACGAGACCUUCGGGUCUAGUGGCGCACGGGUGCGUCACGCGUGGGAACCUGCCCUUAGGUUCGGAAUAACUCCCCGAAAGGGGUGCUAAUACCGGAUAAUGUCUUCGGACCAAAGAUUUAUCGCCUUUGGAUGGGCCCGCGUUGGAUUAGCUAGUUGGUAGGGUAAAAGCCUACCAAGGCGACGAUCCAUAGCUGGUCUGAGAGGAUGAUCAGCCACACUGGGACUGAGACACGGCCCAGACUCCUACGGGAGGCAGCAGUGGGGAAUAUUGGACAAUGGGCGAAAGCCUGAUCCAGCAAUGCCGCGUGAGUGAUGAAGGCCUUAGGGUUGUAAAGCUCUUUUACCCGGGAUGAUAAUGACAGUACCGGGAGAAUAAGCUCCGGCUAACUCCGUG
RNAcentral lists this ribosomal RNA (432 nucleotides) under uncultured bacterium. RNAcentral's name for it is "partial 16S ribosomal RNA". It matches the Rfam family "Bacterial small subunit ribosomal RNA", at positions 29 to 507 of the family's 1533-position model. The record is from RNAcentral.